AAUAUUGUGCAAUGGGCGCAAGCCUGACCCAGCAACGCCGCGUGAAGGAAGAAGGCUUUCGGGUUGUAAACUUCUUUUGGCAGGGACGAAGAAAGUGACGGUACCUGCAGAAUAAGCUCCGGCUAACUACGUGCCAGCAGCCGCGGUAAUACGUAGGGAGCAAGCGUUAUCCGGAUUUACUGGGUGUAAAGGUCGCGUAGGCGGGACUGCAAGUCAGAUGUGAAGUCUGGGGGCUCAACCCCCAAACUGCAUUUGAAACUGUGGUUCUUGAGUGAUGGAGAGGCAAGUGGAAUUCCUAGUGUAGCGGUGAAAUGCGUAGAUAUUAGGAGGAACACCAGUGGCGAAGGCGACUUGCUGGACAUUAACUGACGCUGAGGCGCGAAAGCGUGGGGAGCAAACAGG
RNAcentral lists this ribosomal RNA (402 nucleotides) under uncultured bacterium. RNAcentral's name for it is "partial 16S ribosomal RNA". It matches the Rfam family "Bacterial small subunit ribosomal RNA", at positions 360 to 776 of the family's 1533-position model. The record is from RNAcentral.